GCAAAGGCAGGGCCCAUGGGCCAUUAGGACACAUAGUUCUCAGGUGUUUUCAUUUCAUGGCCUGACUUCUUUGAAUUCAGAUUAAAUCCCACUUGACAUGACCCUCUGGGACUCCUCGUGGAAAGUGGAGUCAUGUGAUAUCAGGGAGGCUGCUAAAGCAGUGCCGAGCUUGGGAAUCCCAAGCCAGGAUUUAGAACUUUAAGGGAAGUCACUCAAGGGGGCAUCACAAUGCUGAACUGGGAACCUUUCAACAAUGCUUAAGGGAUAAGUGAUAAGACAGGGGCCUCCAGAAUGAGUGACUAGCCUCCCUUUACAGUCUCACCUGCUCAGCUCUGUGACUCCAAACUGCAGUGUUUUCUCUCUUCAGUGGAGGAACGUGAGGCCCAGAGAUCCUUCUUGAGUUACCCAACGUCCUGCAGCCCGCAAUAGAGAAGCAGACUAGAGGCAACAUUACCGGAAUCUCUCUCUCCCAUCCCCCAUCCCAGACCCAGAUCCUUCUACUGCAGACACCUGCUGUUCUUUUAUUGAUGGCAUGGCUAGUGCUCAGUCAUCUGGUCACCACAACUCUACUGAGCCCCUCCCCUGGGUGCUGGACUGGCUCUAACACUGUGCGAACAGACAGAGGAAGGCUCAUGCUUGUGGAGCCAACGUUCUAAGUUGGGGAAGAGUCAAUGUAUGAAUUUUAAAAACAGUAAAACAAGAUCAUUUCAGAGAACGGAAGACAACAGCAAGCACGGGCCACCUGUGACCACGUGGACCCUAGGACCCAAGAGCAUGGCCCUGGAGCUGCCUGGCCCUACUGGCCUAGACUGGGCCUCGGCCACGCG
This 827-nucleotide long non-coding RNA is filed under the name Homo sapiens (human). RNAcentral describes it as "HSALNT0370202". The record is from RNAcentral. Lineage: Eukaryota; Metazoa; Chordata; Mammalia; Primates; Hominidae.